UGACCCUGGAGGAACUUAUAUGGAGCCAACAAAAAUAAGUCCUCAUAAAGACGACCCACCAGAUUUGAGGACAAAUCCUUCUCAAGAGGGAGGGGAUGAUACGCGGGGCCCAAGCCCAAUAAAUAAAGUCCACCAAAGAAGGAUAAAGAAGUCAUUUUACAUAAAGGAGGGGUGAGUUUAGCUUGAUAAGGGGUGCAUCGGGAACUUUCCUAUUUUAGAAAUUGAAAUAAACGUGUACUCCAUAUAGAUUCUAGAAGCUAGCAUAUUUAGCACAUGUAUUAGAGUUAGGCAACGUGAUUCAUAGUGGCUGAACACGUUUUUCAUCACAAGUCCAAGGUUGAUGAGUCUAUAUAACUCACCUUGGCUGUCCUUGUAUUCACUUUGGAAUAUAUGAGAAAUUUCUACAUUCUGAAAUUUAUCUCUACCGAGCAAAUGCUUACCAAAGUCAUCUUCUCCAUCAACUCUCUCCCACCUCUUAGCUUUCUUCCAACAAUGAGGCUGUCUGAGCUAAGGACCACACCAUCUCCUUCUCUGCCGAAACAAGCAUCUCACUGAACUCCACCAAAUUUCGCUGCCAC
This 578-nucleotide long non-coding RNA is filed under the name Vigna radiata. RNAcentral describes it as "long non-coding RNA (VRAD_LNC016682)". Lineage: Eukaryota; Viridiplantae; Streptophyta; Magnoliopsida; Fabales; Fabaceae. The record is from RNAcentral.